Long non-coding RNA from Nilaparvata lugens (brown planthopper), 360 nucleotides. RefSeq lists it as uncharacterized. The record is from RefSeq and is a predicted model, not a curated record. Lineage: Eukaryota; Metazoa; Arthropoda; Insecta; Hemiptera; Delphacidae. The transcript is spliced from 3 exons.
GAUUUUGCUAUUUCUCUGGUUGCAAUUCUAUGAGUGAAACAAUAGAUAAGUUCAGGCACACAACAAGGAACGGAGCCACAUUGAUAAGUGUCUGGGGAACGGAGGGUGCGACAGGAUACACUGACAAUAUUGGCUUGAAGCAUUCACCAGCCUUCUACAGCAAAAAACAGUGAUACUCUGGGAGCCGGAGAUACGUUUGCGGCUGCCCUUAUACAUAGUCUUAAUGAAGGACAUGAAUUGGACAAAAGUGUAGAAUUUGCUUGUAAGGUGGCUGGAGCAAAGACUGGAAUCAAAGGUUUCUCACAACUGAAGACUGUAUGUCAGGGUAUAUUACAAGACUAUUAAUAAUUCAUAAUUGUG